This 372-nucleotide ribosomal RNA is filed under the name endophytic bacterium. RNAcentral's name for it is "bacterial SSU rRNA". It matches the Rfam family "Bacterial small subunit ribosomal RNA", at positions 56 to 428 of the family's 1533-position model. The record is from RNAcentral.
UGCAGUCGAGCGGUAACAGGGGUAGCUUGCUACCCGCUGACGAGCGGCGGACGGGUGAGUAAUGCAUGGGUAUCUGCCCGGUAGUGGGGGAUAACUCGGGGAAACCCGAGCUAAUACCGCAUACGUCCUACGGGAGAAAGCAGGGGAUCUUCGGACCUUGCGCUAUCGGAUGAGCCCAUGUCGGAUUAGCUUGUUGGUGAGGUAACGGCUCACCAAGGCAACGAUCCGUAGCUGGUCUGAGAGGAUGAUCAGCCACACCGGGACUGAGACACGGCCCGGACUCCUACGGGAGGCAGCAGUGGGGAAUAUUGGACAAUGGGGGAAACCCUGAUCCACCCUUGCCAGUGUGGGAAGAAGGCCUUCGGGUUGUAA